This 161-nucleotide ribosomal RNA is filed under the name uncultured bacterium. Its description in RNAcentral is "partial 16S ribosomal RNA". It matches the Rfam family "Bacterial small subunit ribosomal RNA", at positions 355 to 509 of the family's 1533-position model. The record is from RNAcentral.
UAGGGAAUUUUCGUCAAUGGCGCAAGCCUGAACGAGCGAUGCCGCGUGAGUGAAGAAGGCCUUCGGGUCGUAAAGCUCUGUUGCGGGGGAAAAAAGGCAGCAUCAGGAAAUGGGUGCUGACUGAUGGUGCCCCGCCAGAAAGUCACGGCUAACUACGUGCC